GAUGUAGAACGUAGCGAAAUGCGAUAAGUAAUGUGAAUUGCAGAAUUCAGUGAAUCAUCGAAUCUUUGAACGCACCUUGCACUCCUUGGUAUUCCGAGGAGUACGCCUGUUCGAGUGUUAUGAAGCUCUCAAAACGCAAUUGGCUUAAAACCUGAUUGUUGUUUUGGAUUUGAACUUUGCCGUGUUAUAACGGCUGGUUUUAAAAGUAUUAGCUGGUACUAGAACGAAUUGGUUCUACUCAACGUGAUAAUUAUCUGUUCGUUGAGGACAUUCCUUUCACGAGGAAUGGCCAUAGUAAAUUCAAUGGACUGCUUCUAAUCUGGCUUUAAUUCUUUAUUGGAUUAACCACUUUUCAAAUCUGACCUCGAAUCAGGUGGGACUACCCGCUGAACUUAAGCAUAUCAAUAAGCGGAGGA
Molecule: unclassified non-coding RNA, 416 nt
Filed under: soil metagenome
Description: partial contains 5.8S ribosomal RNA, internal transcribed spacer 2, and large subunit ribosomal RNA
Rfam family: 5.8S ribosomal RNA (bases 1-120)
Source: RNAcentral